RNAcentral lists this transfer RNA (93 nucleotides) under compost metagenome. RNAcentral describes it as "tRNA-Arg". The record is from RNAcentral.
GCGCGCUGGUUGAGCGGCCGCAGCAACGUGGUUUCCUUCGCCGCGUUGCGGAUGAAACGCACUAGCGGCGAGUUCAGGUCCGACAGCGAGCGC